UCCGCUGUGGGCGUCGGAAAUUUGAGUGGAGCUGUCCUCAGUACGAGAGGACCGGGAUGGACAUACCUCCGGUGCACCGGUUGUCCUGCCAAGGGCACGGCCGGGUAGCCGCGUAUGGACGGGAUAAGCGCUGAAAGCAUCUAAGUGCGAAGCCCCCCACAAGAAGAGAUUUCCUCCUGAAAAGGUAAGACCCGUGAAAGACCAUCACGUCGAUAGGUCGGAGGUGUACGCAUGGCAACAUGUUCAGCUGACCGAUACUAAUGGGUCGAACGCUUGACCAA
RNAcentral lists this ribosomal RNA (281 nucleotides) under Eubacteriales Family XIII. Incertae Sedis bacterium. RNAcentral describes it as "partial 23S ribosomal RNA". It matches the Rfam family "Bacterial large subunit ribosomal RNA", at positions 2641 to 2925 of the family's 2925-position model. The record is from RNAcentral. Lineage: Bacteria; Bacillati; Bacillota; Clostridia; Peptostreptococcales; Anaerovoracaceae.